AAAAUUUAAAAUAAAAAUACUAAAAUAGUAAAUAAAUAUUUAUUGAAACUUAAAUGAUUUGGCGGUAUUUUAGUUCAUUUAGAGGAAUCUGUUUANUAAUUGAUAAUCCACGAAUAAAUUUACUUAAUUUAUAAUUUUAUAUAUCGUUGUUAAAAAAAUAUUUUUUAAUAAAAUUAAUAUUUAAAAAUUAAUAAAAUAAAUUAAAUCAGAUCAAGAUGUAGAUUAUAAUUAAGAAUAUAAUGGAUUACAAUAAAAUUAUUUAAACUAAUUUUAAUUUGUAAAAUUUAAUUGAAGGUGGAUUUAAAUGUAAUUUUAUUUAAUUUAAUAAAAUGAUUGAAAAUUAAAAUAUGC
Molecule: ribosomal RNA, 351 nt
Filed under: Sesamia incerta
Lineage: Eukaryota; Metazoa; Arthropoda; Insecta; Lepidoptera; Noctuidae
Description: partial 12S small subunit ribosomal RNA
Source: RNAcentral